UGGGUGACGGGGGAAGUGACGGGGGACUGGCUCACCCUCACCGUCCAUGGACUGACGCCUUCAAGGAAGUAUUUGCACAAGAUGCACUCUCACAAUGUCAAAGGUUUUGGUCCAUUCUCCUCCGUGGAAAGCUUCACGACUUCCAGCUGUUGACAAGAGCAUCGGUGAGCCCCCUGGCUGGUGUGUGGAGCGAGAGGCCUGAUUGUGCUGGUGAUCGCUGGCGUGGCAGGAGCCAUGACCAGCUGGGGGCCUUCUUGGCCACCACACUGUACUGCCAUGGUCAAGGCGGAGCCCAGGCCAAGCAUUGUUGUUGGCGGCAGCUGCAGUGAGAGCAACAAGCCUGGCGUCCAGCCUCCAGACCUGUGGAUCCAUCACGGCCACUUGGAGCUGAAGAACUUUGACAAGGGUGAGCGCAGCAACUCCCCCAACCACGCCUCCAUCAUCCAGCACACAGCUGAAGAUCAACAACAAGGAGAUGACGGCGCUAGACCAGAUGCUUGGGGCACUCCUGGAGGCUCUGCAGGACAAGGCCAAGGAAACAAAGAGUGGCCAGGCUCUGGGACCGAGGCACAGAGAGCCAAGACGGCCGAGGGUUUAUCAAGACUGACAACAACGUGACGGUCAAAGUGUUAGAGGUGUCAGGUUCCUGCACAGGUGAACGAAGGUGGAGUCAUGGCUUUGGGGCGGCUCGCUAAAAAGAUCAGAUGAGCCACAAUGGGCGCAGGUCACCACAUGCGGGUCGGGGGUCACACAGCCACCGUUCACGACCUGACCCCUAAGAGUGGAUACCAGCUGUCUGGAGUGGACACAGAAGUGGAUUCCUUACAACAUCGGGACUCCCUUUAAGAUCUCGGUCACCCUCGGAGUCUUGUCACUGGAAACUUCCCGAGGAGCUGCGUCGGCGCGUCACACUCCACCUCCAAGCUAACCCAGGACUGUCCCAGGCUGAGCUGCAUGACAUCCUAUACUAAGAUCGAACCCGCCUGCAACCUCAAGAUCAAGUACGGGUCACCCAAGCCUAGGAGACACCGUAGCCCUCGCCGAUCUAAGAGGUACCCUCCCGACGUGAGUAAGUGCUCAUUAUUGUCGAUCUCUGGGUACUGCCAAGACCUCACACACCACACACCCCAUCCCUCUUGCUCAAGGGGGGACAGUAACCACUUCUAGUCAACGGAAAGAAUCUGGCCUGAGCGGGGCUCGAACUGCCGCCUGUUUGGCCGUGAAGACUUGCAGUGCAGCGCUCUACCAAUUGAGCUACCGGAGCGGCCUCAGCAUCACCAGACCUUGGGAGCAGCAGCCCAGUGCCAACACCAGGCCACAGGACCCCAGGCUGCCCAGCACACUGCCAGUGCCGGGGAUCUUCAGACCCGUCUCCAGCCUUAGGGAAUGGAGGGCGGAGGGCUGCAGUGGCGGUGGCGGCUAUAGUAAUGUGUCAGCAAUAUUUUUUUUCUGCCUCUAGGUGUGGUAGUCUUUCUUGGUGGUGGGUCCCGUCGGCCAGCCCCAGCCCUCUAUAGUGCAGGGAAGUGUUUAUAGUGGCGCCACCUUGCCUGGAUCACUUCUGAUCCCCUCUUUUAGAGAGAGAAUCUAGAGUCUGGGUUGACAGGCGUCCACCAUGACAGCAUGUGGGUAGUGUUGGGCCACUCGGCAGUGACUGAAAAAUACUGUCUGUGGUGGUGGGAGGGACCCAAACCCUCAUCCUGCACUGGUGGUCACUUUUUGUGUCAAUUAUUUAUUAUUACUAUUAUUAUUAUUAUUAUUAUUAUUAUUAUUAUUAUUAUUAUUAUUAUCUUUUUUAUGUCGUAGCCUAUAGCAGCGGCAGGCUUUGGUCAGUGGCCUGGCGGUGGGCCCGCGGUGUUUUCAGUGGCAGGGUUGUAAUUCCUGGGGCUGGAUAGAGAUUCCCAAAUAUCUUCUGCAUCGGCCUAAAAAUGCCCCGAAGAGUGCUGGGUUUUCAAAAUUUUCCCCACCUGAGGAUGCCUUCUAGACCCCAAAAAUAUCUGCCAAAAUUAGUCCUGAGUGGUGGUGGUGGUGUUGAAAAUGUUAAUGACAGUGAUGAGAAGCAUUGUUAGGGGUGCUGGUGUGUAGUGAUGAAGUGGUGGUGAUGUCAGUCUGUGGUGGUGUUGAAAACUAGCCUCUUUUAAACGGUGAUGAGUGGUGGUGAACGGUGUUUACUGUACUGGUGGUGAUGAAAAUUGGUGUUGAUGGCCUUUGUGGAGGUGUUGAUGGCAGUGGUGAUGAAAUAUAGGCAUGUUUAGAGGUUCUGGUGUUGAUGGUGGAGGUACUUGUGUUGGUGGUGAUGAAAAUUGGUGUUAUAGCCCUGGUGGUGAUGAUCUCUAUACCUAAUGGUGUUGUAAAUAUGCAUCUUUAGUGGUGUGGCAGUGUUGAAGGCAGUGGUGAUGAAAAAUUGGUGUCCAGUGGUGUUGUGUGGUGGUGAAACAUGCAUCAACUCCACAUGCAAGACUUAACACCAUUUUUGUCCAUUCCAAAAUUUCAUGUAUAUCUAUUGCAGUUCAUUUUUAUUUUUAUUUAUUUUUAUUACUUCAACAGUAAAUUAGAAUGCUCAAGGUGAUGGAAAGGAAUGAAGAAAGAGAGAGACAGGAGAGGAUAAAAAUAGCUUAAUCUAUCUAUCCCACUCUUAUUCUGCAAGAUGUACAAUAGGGAACAUAGUCUUUCAUUACACCCAGUCCUUCAGCUCUUAAGGAUGGCUCCAGAGUCCAGUCUUAGCAGUUAAGUCCCCAAAGUCUUGUUCAUGUUAUUUUAGUGCCAGUGAGUGCCUGCUUACAGUGCCAAAGUGACCCUUUCUGUCCCUUCCCUUCCUAGCUCAUGGGAAGGUUGGUGAGAGAGAGAGAGAGAGAGAGAGAGACUACAUACAUAGAAAAGCAGACCACACAGACCCCAUGGUCCAGACUAGGUGGUCUGUCCUUAAACAAAAGUGAUUCUACAUUAAUCAGAUGGCUCCAAAACGUUGCUUUUCUAUUCUAGUUAAUAUUAAGUUCAAGGAAGUGACGGUCGAGCUUGU
Molecule: long non-coding RNA, 3016 nt
Organism: Eriocheir sinensis (Chinese mitten crab)
Lineage: Eukaryota; Metazoa; Arthropoda; Malacostraca; Decapoda; Varunidae
Exons: 9
Source: RefSeq, a predicted model, not a curated record